Molecule: long non-coding RNA, 581 nt
Organism: Dalotia coriaria
Lineage: Eukaryota; Metazoa; Arthropoda; Insecta; Coleoptera; Staphylinidae
Exons: 4
Source: RefSeq, a predicted model, not a curated record
UCUUCCUAGCUAGGCGCACGUAUAGUUCGAUUGAUCGUGUUUAUUGACAUUGGUGGUCAAGGACAAGUUUGUUGAUUUACCAGUAGUUCAUUUCACGUUGAGUGUUUGUAGUCGCAUUUUAAAUCCCUUUUGGUGAUUUGGGGAAUGUUACAACGUUGAUAUCCGCGGGCGAACGCGAUGUCGUAGGGCAAUCAUUUUUGCAAUAAAUUGUGUUCUGCACGCACAUUUUCUCCAUUAUAUCUACCUGGUGUCCCCAACUAGAUGUUUACGCCGGCUGACGAUUCUCUUUCCUGCUUAGUCGGUCGUGCCCGGUAGUGUCGCGAGCACGUGUUUUGUUCGUAAGUCUAUCUGCAUAGUUAUCAGUGGUGUCAGGAUAAACAACGUUGGUGCCCAGAAGAAGUUUGUGAGUGCCCGAUCCAUGGAGUUUGCAAUAUCUAUAGCGGAAGUGUUGGAGAUGCGCGUACUUUAAGGCAAGUCUUUACUGCUACGGGAAUUGAUAGUCGUAAAUUGUUUUCUUGCUUAAAAACUAUGUACCUAUGUAUUUUUAAAAGUUAUUAAUAAAACACUUAUUACAUUUAUAA